Gossypium arboreum is the source of this 107-nucleotide non-coding RNA. NCBI's taxonomy places the organism in Eukaryota, Viridiplantae, Streptophyta, Magnoliopsida, Malvales, Malvaceae. The record is from Rfam.
AUCCCUUGAUGAGGGCACUUAAGAUGUAAUUCCUUAAAUCUUUCCCACGCAUUGUACUAGGAUUCAUCUUCCAAUAUUGAAAACGUGGUUGUCUCAUCUUUGCAACU